CCUACGGGCGGCAGCAGUCGAGAAUUAUUCACAAUGGGGGAAACCCUGAUGGUGCGACGCCGCGUGGGGGAAUGAAGGUCUUCGGAUUGUAAACCCCUUUCAUGUGGGAGCAAAUUAAAAAGAUAGUACCACAAGAGGAAUAGACGGCUAACUCUGUGCCAGCAGCCGCGGUAAUACAGAGGUCUCAAGCGUUGUUCGGAAUCACUGGGCGUAAGGCGUGCGUAGGCUGUUUCGUAAGUCGUGUGUGAAAGGCGCGGGCUCAACCCGCGGACGGCCGAUGAUACUGCGAGACUAGAGUAAUGGAGGGGGAACCGGAAUUCUCGGUGUAGCAGUGAAAUGCGUAGAUAUCGAGAGGAACACUCGUGGCGAAGGCGGGUUCCUGGACAUUAACUGACGCUGAGGCACGAAGGCCAGGGGAGCGAAAGGGAUUAGAUACCCGGGUAGUC
This 446-nucleotide ribosomal RNA is filed under the name uncultured bacterium. RNAcentral describes it as "partial 16S ribosomal RNA". It matches the Rfam family "Bacterial small subunit ribosomal RNA", at positions 338 to 795 of the family's 1533-position model. The record is from RNAcentral.